RNAcentral lists this ribosomal RNA (254 nucleotides) under Candidatus Midichloria mitochondrii. Its description in RNAcentral is "partial 16S ribosomal RNA". It matches the Rfam family "Bacterial small subunit ribosomal RNA", at positions 642 to 898 of the family's 1533-position model. The record is from RNAcentral. Lineage: Bacteria; Pseudomonadati; Pseudomonadota; Alphaproteobacteria; Rickettsiales; Candidatus Midichloriaceae.
UUGAGUACUGUAGGGGGUAGCGGAAUUCCUAGUGUAGGGGUGAAAUUCGUAGAUAUUAGGAGGAACACCGGAGGCGAAAGCGGUUAUCUGGACAGUCACUAACGCUGUUGCACGAAAGCGUGGGGAGCAAACAGGAUUAGAUACCCUGGUAGUCCACGCAGUAAACGAUGAGUGCUAGAUGUUGGGGGUUAAGUCUCAGUGUCGCAGCUAACGCAUUAAGCACUCCGCCUGGGGAGUACGGUCGCAAGAUUAAA